This 78-nucleotide microRNA precursor is filed under the name Schistosoma margrebowiei. RNAcentral's name for it is "mir-3492 microRNA precursor family". It matches the Rfam family "mir-3492 microRNA precursor family". Lineage: Eukaryota; Metazoa; Platyhelminthes; Trematoda; Strigeidida; Schistosomatidae. The record is from Rfam by way of RNAcentral.
GGCCUUCUGAAUCCGUGCAAAUACUUCGUCGGACACCAACUCAUCAGUACUGAUGAGACUCCCAAGAUAAGUGAAGCA